RNAcentral lists this ribosomal RNA (2906 nucleotides) under Salmonella enterica subsp. enterica serovar Typhimurium. RNAcentral's name for it is "bacterial LSU rRNA". It matches the Rfam family "Bacterial large subunit ribosomal RNA". Lineage: Bacteria; Pseudomonadati; Pseudomonadota; Gammaproteobacteria; Enterobacterales; Enterobacteriaceae. The record is from RNAcentral.
UUAAGCGACUAAGCGUACACGGUGGAUGCCCUGGCAGUCAGAGGCGAUGAAGGACGUGCUAAUCUGCGAUAAGCGCCGGUAAGGUGAUAUGAACCGUUAUAACCGGCGAUUUCCGAAUGGGGAAACCCAGUGUGAUUCGUCACACUAUCAUUAACUGAAUCCAUAGGUUAAUGAGGCGAACCGGGGGAACUGAAACAUCUAAGUACCCCGAGGAAAAGAAAUCAACCGAGAUUCCCCCAGUAGCGGCGAGCGAACGGGGAGGAGCCCAGAGCCUGAAUCAGCAUGUGUGUUAGUGGAAGCGUCUGGAAAGGUGCGCGAUACAGGGUGACAGCCCCGUACACAAAAGCGCAUGUGCUGUGAGCUCGAUGAGUAGGGCGGGACACGUGGUAUCCUGUCUGAAUAUGGGGGGACCAUCCUCCAAGGCUAAAUACUCCUGACUGACCGAUAGUGAACCAGUACCGUGAGGGAAAGGCGAAAAGAACCCCGGCGAGGGGAGUGAAAAAGAACCUGAAACCGUGUACGUACAAGCAGUGGGAGCACAGGUUUACCUGUGUGACUGCGUACCUUUUGUAUAAUGGGUCAGCGACUUAUAUUCUGUAGCAAGGUUAACCGUAUAGGGGAGCCGUAGGGAAACCGAGUCUUAACCGGGCGUUAAGUUGCAGGGUAUAGACCCGAAACCCGGUGAUCUAGCCAUGGGCAGGUUGAAGGUUGGGUAACACUAACUGGAGGACCGAACCGACUAAUGUUGAAAAAUUAGCGGAUGACCUGUGGCUGGGGGUGAAAGGCCAAUCAAACCGGGAGAUAGCUGGUUCUCCCCGAAAGCUAUUUAGGUAGCGCCUCGUGAAUUCAUCUCCGGGGGUAGAGCACUGUUUCGGCUAGGGGGCCAUCCCGGCUUACCAACCCGAUGCAAACUGCGAAUACCGGAGAAUGUUAUCACGGGAGACACACGGCGGGUGCUAACGUCCGUCGUGAAGAGGGAAACAACCCAGACCGCCAGCUAAGGUCCCAAAGUCAUGGUUAAGUGGGAAACGAUGUGGGAAGGCCCAGACAGCCAGGAUGUUGGCUUAGAAGCAGCCAUCAUUUAAAGAAAGCGUAAUAGCUCACUGGUCGAGUCGGCCUGCGCGGAAGAUGUAACGGGGCUAAACCAUGCACCGAAGCUGCGGCAGCGACGCUGAUGCGUUGUUGGGUAGGGGAGCGUUCUGUAAGCCUGCGAAGGUGACCUGUGAGGGUUGCUGGAGGUAUCAGAAGUGCGAAUGCUGACAUAAGUAACGAUAAAGCGGGUGAAAAGCCCGCUCGCCGGAAGACCAAGGGUUCCUGUCCAACGUUAAUCGGGGCAGGGUGAGUCGACCCCUAAGGCGAGGCCGAAAGGCGUAGUCGAUGGGAAACGGGUUAAUAUUCCCGUACUUGGUGUUACUGCGAAGGGGGGACGGAGAAGGCUAUGUUGGCCGGGCGACGGUUGUCCCGGUUUAAGCGUGUAGGUGUGUGUUCCAGGUAAAUCCGGUUCACUUUAACACUGAGGCGUGACGACGAGGCACUACGGUGCUGAAGCAACAAAUGCCCUGCUUCCAGGAAAAGCCUCUAAGCAUCAGGUAACAUCAAAUCGUACCCCAAACCGACACAGGUGGUCAGGUAGAGAAUACCAAGGCGCUUGAGAGAACUCGGGUGAAGGAACUAGGCAAAAUGGUGCCGUAACUUCGGGAGAAGGCACGCUGACACGUAGGUGAAGUGAUUUACUCAUGGAGCUGAAGUCAGUCGAAGAUACCAGCUGGCUGCAACUGUUUAUUAAAAACACAGCACUGUGCAAACACGAAAGUGGACGUAUACGGUGUGACGCCUGCCCGGUGCCGGAAGGUUAAUUGAUGGGGUCAGCGCAAGCGAAGCUCCUGAUCGAAGCCCCGGUAAACGGCGGCCGUAACUAUAACGGUCCUAAGGUAGCGAAAUUCCUUGUCGGGUAAGUUCCGACCUGCACGAAUGGCGUAAUGAUGGCCAGGCUGUCUCCACCCGAGACUCAGUGAAAUUGAACUCGCUGUGAAGAUGCAGUGUACCCGCGGCAAGACGGAAAGACCCCGUGAACCUUUACUAUAGCUUGACACUGAACAUUGAGCCUUGAUGUGUAGGAUAGGUGGGAGGCUUUGAAGUGUGGACGCCAGUCUGCAUGGAGCCGACCUUGAAAUACCACCCUUUAAUGUUUGAUGUUCUAACGUGGACCCGUAAUCCGGGUUGCGGACAGUGUCUGGUGGGUAGUUUGACUGGGGCGGUCUCCUCCUAAAGAGUAACGGAGGAGCACGAAGGUUGGCUAAUCCUGGUCGGACAUCAGGAGGUUAGUGCAAUGGCAUAAGCCAGCUUGACUGCGAGCGUGACGGCGCGAGCAGGUGCGAAAGCAGGUCAUAGUGAUCCGGUGGUUCUGAAUGGAAGGGCCAUCGCUCAACGGAUAAAAGGUACUCCGGGGAUAACAGGCUGAUACCGCCCAAGAGUUCAUAUCGACGGCGGUGUUUGGCACCUCGAUGUCGGCUCAUCACAUCCUGGGGCUGAAGUAGGUCCCAAGGGUAUGGCUGUUCGCCAUUUAAAGUGGUACGCGAGCUGGGUUUAGAACGUCGUGAGACAGUUCGGUCCCUAUCUGCCGUGGGCGCUGGAGAACUGAGGGGGGCUGCUCCUAGUACGAGAGGACCGGAGUGGACGCAUCACUGGUGUUCGGGUUGUCAUGCCAAUGGCACUGCCCGGUAGCUAAAUGCGGAAGAGAUAAGUGCUGAAAGCAUCUAAGCACGAAACUUGCCCCGAGAUGAGUUCUCCCUGAGACUUAGAGUCUCCUGAAGGAACGUUGAAGACGACGACGUUGAUAGGCCGGGUGUGUAAGCGCAGCGAUGCGUUGAGCUAACCGGUACUAAUGAACCGUGAGGCUUAACCUU